AUCUCGAGAUCGCACAAUCUCACAACUGUUCGACCAGCUAUUCGACAGCCUUCUAUAUAAGCAACUAAAGGCCUGAGGAUCAAGAUAAGUCAAUCAAUCCCUAUCAGAGAACUCGUUGGUAUUCCUAUUAUUUUCUGAAUCUAACUUGAGCGUCGAAGAGUCCUCGCUGAAGCGAAAAUCUCCGGUUUGAACUUGUUUUGCUGGUCACUCUAGCUCCAUCAUCCUUGAGCGAGACUCAGUCACCUUCUCUCCGACCUCAACCAAAUCAAACAGCAA
Molecule: long non-coding RNA, 276 nt
Filed under: Elaeis guineensis (African oil palm)
Lineage: Eukaryota; Viridiplantae; Streptophyta; Magnoliopsida; Arecales; Arecaceae
Description: long non-coding RNA (EGUI_LNC009723)
Source: RNAcentral